This 548-nucleotide ribosomal RNA is filed under the name uncultured bacterium. RNAcentral's name for it is "bacterial SSU rRNA". It matches the Rfam family "Bacterial small subunit ribosomal RNA", at positions 49 to 586 of the family's 1533-position model. The record is from RNAcentral.
UAACACAUGCAAGUCGAGGGGCAGCAUAUCGCUUCGGUGAUGACGGCAACCUGGCGCACGGGUGAGUAACACGUUUGCAACCUACCCUUAACUGGAGGAUAGCCCGGAGAAAUCCGGAUUAAUACUCCGUAAUAUCCUUGCACGGCAUCGUGCUUUGAUUAAAGCUCCGGCGGUUAAGGAUGGGCAUGCGGGACAUUAGUUCGUUGGUGAGGUAAAGGCUCACCAAGACUACGAUGUCUAUGGGGUCUGAGAGGAUGAUCCCACACACUGGUACUGAGACACGGACCAGACUCCUACGGGAGGCAGCAGUGAGGAAUAUUGGUCAAUGGACGCAAGUCUGAACCAGCCAUGCCGCGUGCAGGAUGACAGCCCUAUGGGUUGUAAACUGCUUUUAUACAGGAAGAAACCCUUCUACGUGUAGAAGGCUGACGGUACUGUAACGAAUAAGCAUCGGCUAACUCCGUGCCAGCAGCCGCGGUAAUACGGAGGAUGCAAGCGUUAUCCGGAUUCAUUUGGGUUUAAAAGGGGUGCGUAGAGCGGGGCAGUAA